GUGGGUUUUACAGAGCGCUGAGGGAUCUGCAGUGAGUUUGACAGAGCUCUGAGGGAUCUGCAGUGGGUUUGACAGAGCGCUGAGGGAUCUGCAGUGGGUUUGACAGAGCGCUGAGGGAUCUGCAGUGGGUUUGACAGAGCUCUGAGGGAUCUGCAGUGGGUUUGACAGAGCGCUGAGGGAUCUGCAGUGGGUUUGACAGAGCGCUGAGGGAUCUCCAGUGGGUUUGACGGCUCCAGAGACUCUGACAAGACUCCACUGCUCUGGAAGGGCUCCAGGAGGUCUGAGGCGGCUCUGAGAGGGCUACCACCCCCACCGAACUGACCGGUGUAUCACAGGGCCGGGAGCACUGUAAUGACAGGACAGGGCCAUUCCCUCAGCCCCAGGUGUGCAUCAUCAGCCAGAGAGGCCAGGAUUUGAAAAGUGCCAGUAUUCCAGAAUCUCACCAUGAAGGUAUCCUCCCCUCUUUGGAAUUCCCUAAAGGACCCUGCAAAGAUGCAGUGCUGGCCAUGCCAUCUGAUACACCUGAAUGCAAAAGUCAUCCCUCAUGGACUAGGCUUAAGGAAUGGAGGGGGAGGAGGGCACAGAAAUCUCUGUCAGGUUACAAAAAGCACUUGUCUGGAUUGCAGAAACCAGCUCCCAGUUCCAGUUUUACCUGAAAACAUCUGCUUUAGCCACCAGCAUCUUCAACAGGCUGUUGGUAUCAGUAAAGAUCUGUCAGCUUUUCCCUGGCUAGAUUACUGA
Molecule: long non-coding RNA, 741 nt
Filed under: Cyanistes caeruleus (blue tit)
Lineage: Eukaryota; Metazoa; Chordata; Aves; Passeriformes; Paridae
Description: lncRNA (ENSCCEG00000013436.1)
Source: RNAcentral